CAUCACCAUGUGUUACAAAUGUGGUUUCGUUUGAUCUUUUGAAGAAAGCGGGCAUUAUAUGACAGUGUUUUGAUAAGAACGUACGGAAAACAAGUAGUAUUCAUCUUGAUGCAUCAAAAUUAUUUCUCUUCCUUCAUUGGAUGAAAGGAAAACGAUGGUCGAUGAUGUGGACAAAGAUAGGUGAUUUGCCAUUGAUGCCAUUAUUGUGAGCAUAAUGAAAAGUAGGAAGGUGUUGGAAUAUCAGUAAUUGGUCGCCGAGUGUGUUGAGCAGCUAACUCGCAGUUUCAAGCCUGUUUUUAAGCUAAUCAAGAAAAGGAUAGAGGAUUUGAUUACAAGAGAUUACAUUGAAGGGACACGGAUGAUCCUCAAUUGUUCCGGUACGUUGCCCGAGUAAAUAAUAAAUAUGCUUCGUCUUCCACAAGAUGAUGGGUGCGCUUUUCGCAAACAAAUUUUUGGUCCAUCUCAGUAAUCAGAUCAGUAUCUCAACAAAGGCAACAAAUUUUUUGAUGGGUGCUUCUUGAUCACUAUCUUCUUUUGCUAUUUAUUACAAUGUUAAACUCUAGAUGAGUUUCUGCCCCUUUAUGCUAUACACAACUCUGUGUUUGUGGCUUGAAUAUUGUUUGUUUUUUGAUUUUUUGAACGAGGCAACAUUCAGAUUAAUACUCCUAUAAAUUAGAAUUACACAGAAAUAUAGAAUCAAUUAUAAUUUGCAAUUAUUAAUUACUUGAAGGUUAAUAUGAUGGAAAAUGUUGUGUGACUUCAUUUGUUUAUAGGUGGUUUUAAGUAUAACAGUUUAACAAUAGCUUUUACAGUUGAUUGAUCUGUUCUUUUCUUGAAUUUGUUUUAGAUUGGAUUGUCCAGUAUGAUCCUCCCGAUGAUCCGAAGGUAAUUCUGAUCUGGUGAAGGGUAACCUUAACAUCCCAUUCCAUAAAAAUAACAAAAAAAUCAACAUCAAGUUUAUGGUUUUAUUCUUCAUCAUCCUGCAUUGUUAAGGUAUUUUUAUUGCUUUCCGAUCUCUUUAAUUUUGUUCAUUAGUAUUGAAUUAUGUAUCUUACCAUUUCUGGAUUACCAGGAAAAAACACUUGCGAGAAUUUCUCAUAAUUUAAUUGGUUCAUCAGCAGCGAAAAUUAUUUGGUUAUUAGUGGACGUGAUGCUCCACAAAAUGAGAUGAUUGUACUUUUAGUUGAUAUCUUUGCAUUAGUUGAUAUCUUUGCAUUAGUUGAUAUCUUUCCCUGAUAGACGCUGAAGAACUUCCUCUUCUUUCAUGUGCUUACCUUUCGUAUUUUUGGGAAUUUUCAUUUCAAGCUCAGGGGAUCAAGCCCAUUCAACUGGUGGGAUGGUAUGACUUUCGUUGAAGUGAUACAUGAUGCUCCAUUGCCACAAGCUGAAAAUGUACAUUAAGCUAUGUCUGAAAAUGCAGAAGAAAGAAGCAGCAGCUGCCAUGCAACCACCAACUAAUGAGAGGUAAUAGAAUAAUAGGUCAUGCUUGACAUAUAUAAUUACAGGUUGUAACUGUUUGUUUCUUCUUUGUUUACUUUGAUAUAAGACCUGCCUGUCACUUGGAUUCCUCUCCAGAAAAAUCUGAUGGUAUGGAAACUGAAUUUCACUUUUUUUGAAUAUUUGUGUUUUUCCCAUUAAGCUUCAUAAAAAUAAUAAUUGUAAGUUUUCAUCCAUUUGACUUAAUUGUUGAAUUUGAAGACAAUAUCUUCCAUAAGCCGAAUGCUUUCAUAUGGAAUUUUAUCAGGUGAUUUGACACGAACACAUGUUUUGAUGAGUUGUUGUUACUGGAUUUCAACCACUACAACUAUCUAUAAAAUCCAAGUCUUCACAUAUAUUUAAUCUUAUAACCAUACACAAACUCUUGCACUUAAAAAGGAACACAAGUAACUCAAAUUCGUUUUCUCAAAUUUGCCUAAAUACACAAACAUAUACUUGUGCUUUGUUAAUUUAAUUUGUGUUUUCACUUUCUACAAAUGUACAGGAAACUGAUUGCUACAACUUCAUUCUCAACGUAAUUAGGUAUUAUUACACUUGUAUUCUUUUAUAUGCUUUCUAAAUUCAACAUGUUUAUUGAUGUCAUUCAAUGAGUUGUUUUUUUUUCUAUUGUUCAAUUUCUAUUUACUUAUUUGCUAUUUACUAAUCAAUGAUUUACAGAUCAUUUAAUUAGAACAAAGAAAAAAAAGAUCAUUAAAAUGAACACAUAUUUUGCGAAAUAAAAUUAAGAAAAACUUCUGCUCUUUACUACACAGAAUGAAUAUACUUUUGCUCUUUUCGUUAUGAUUGCAACAUUCCACCCUUGAA
Long non-coding RNA from Amaranthus tricolor (Joseph's coat), 2301 nucleotides. RefSeq lists it as uncharacterized. The transcript is spliced from 7 exons. The record is from RefSeq and is a predicted model, not a curated record. NCBI's taxonomy places the organism in Eukaryota, Viridiplantae, Streptophyta, Magnoliopsida, Caryophyllales, Amaranthaceae.